This 382-nucleotide long non-coding RNA is filed under the name Cyanistes caeruleus (blue tit). RNAcentral's name for it is "lncRNA (ENSCCEG00000009804.1)". The record is from RNAcentral. Lineage: Eukaryota; Metazoa; Chordata; Aves; Passeriformes; Paridae.
UGGCCACUAGGCUAAGAAGAUGAGGGCUUGAAAAAAGCAAAGCUUGAAAUUCCUGCCAGAGGUGAAUGAAAAUAUCAAUGUGACAUUGUGAGGACUCUGAAAUAGAGUAACAAGACUUUUCUUAUGUGGAAUCCCAAGAAAGUCCUGGUCUAUAGAGCUCAGAUUUUUCCCAUGAAGCUCAGAGAGGAUGAAGAUAUAGCUGGUUUAACUUUGUAUUGGGACUCUGAGAUGCUCCUUAUUGUCACUGCUUCCAUGGACCCUUUAGGUUAUCCUACUACGAAAUUUUUUCAACCCGUGGCUUGGAAAAUUCCAGUGUGUUUUGCAUAUAAAUUCUCUUCCAUCAACAAUGUCCAAUUCCCUUUCCCAGCUGUGUUAUUGGGAU